Molecule: long non-coding RNA, 292 nt
Filed under: Gossypium barbadense (sea-island cotton)
Lineage: Eukaryota; Viridiplantae; Streptophyta; Magnoliopsida; Malvales; Malvaceae
Description: long non-coding RNA (GBAR_LNC000533)
Source: RNAcentral
UUAAAUUUUCCCAUUGAACCACUUGGAAUACUAAGGAUAUGCGGGUACCUUACCAUUGCCAUGACUUGUCAUGGUCUUACGUGGUAUCCUUUUGAAACUUACCAUUGCCAUGUCUUGACAUGGUCUUACAUGGUAUCCUUGCCUUAUGAACUCACCAAUGCCAUGCCUUGGCAUGGUCUUACAUGGGACCUUUGCCUUAUAGUAACUUAUCAAUGCCAUGUCUUGACAUGGUCUUGCAUGAUUUCCUUGCCUUAGAAACCUUACCAAUUGCCAUGCCUUGGCAUGGUCUUAC